Molecule: small nuclear RNA, 147 nt
Organism: Oryctolagus cuniculus (rabbit)
Lineage: Eukaryota; Metazoa; Chordata; Mammalia; Lagomorpha; Leporidae
Gene: U2
Rfam family: U2 spliceosomal RNA
About the family: U2 is a small nuclear RNA (snRNA) component of the spliceosome (involved in pre-mRNA splicing). Complementary binding between U2 snRNA (in an area lying towards the 5' end but 3' to hairpin I) and the branchpoint sequence (BPS) of the intron results the bulging out of an unpaired adenosine, on the BPS, which initiates a nucleophilic attack at the intronic 5' splice site, thus starting the first of two transesterification reactions that mediate splicing.
Source: Ensembl
AUCGCUUCUUGGCCUUUUGGCUAAGAUCGAGUGUAGAAAUUCAGUCAUAAUUUAAACAGACUGGAUUUUCUCUGUAGCUUGCAUUCAAGAACUUAGAGAAAGAUAUUUGUAUCAUGAAAUUCUAUAUCAACAAGGCAAAUCAGACAA